GCACAAGCGGUGGAGCAUGUGGUUUAAUUCGACGCAACGCGAAGAACCUUACCUGGGUUUGACAUGUACCUGACCGCCGUGGAAACACGGUUUCCCUUCGGGGCAGGUUCACAGGUGGUGCAUGGCUGUCGUCAGCUCGUGUCGUGAGAUGUUGGGUUAAGUCCCGCAACGAGCGCAACCCCCGUCGCAUGUUGCCAGCAUUUAGUUGGGGACUCAUGCGAGACUGCCGGUGACAAACCGGAGGAAGGUGGGGAUGACGUCAAGUCAUCAUGCCCCUUAUGUCCAGGGCUACACACGUGCUACAUUGGCCGGUACAGAGGGCUGCGAUACCGCGAGGUGGAGCGAAUCCCUCAAAGCCGGUCUCAGUUCGGAUUGCAGGCUGAAACUCGCCUGCAUGGAGGCGGAGUUGCUAGUAAUCGCAGAUCAGCAAUGCUGCGGUGAAUACGUUCCCGGGC
Molecule: ribosomal RNA, 455 nt
Filed under: uncultured bacterium
Lineage: Bacteria
Description: bacterial SSU rRNA
Rfam family: Bacterial small subunit ribosomal RNA
Source: RNAcentral